UACGGGGGGGGCAAGCGUUGUUCGGAAUUACUGGGCGUAAAGGGGGCGUAGGCGGCUUUCUAAGUUGGAUGUGAAAACUCUGGGCUCAACCCAGAGCCUGCAUCCAAAACUGGAGAGCUUGGGUUCUGGAGGGGAAAGCGGAAUUCCUGGUGUAGCGGUGAAAUGCGUAGAUAUCAGGAGGAACACCGGUGGCGAAAGCGGCUCACUGGAUCGAUACUGACGCUGAGGUGCGAAAGCUAGGGUAGCAAACGGG
Molecule: ribosomal RNA, 253 nt
Filed under: uncultured bacterium
Lineage: Bacteria
Description: partial 16S ribosomal RNA
Rfam family: Bacterial small subunit ribosomal RNA
Source: RNAcentral